This 348-nucleotide ribosomal RNA is filed under the name uncultured bacterium. RNAcentral's name for it is "bacterial SSU rRNA". It matches the Rfam family "Bacterial small subunit ribosomal RNA", at positions 917 to 1267 of the family's 1533-position model. The record is from RNAcentral.
GGGCCCGCACAAGCGGUGGAGCAUGUGGUUUAAUUCGAUGAUACGCGAGGAACCUUACCAGGGCUUAAAUGUAGUGGGACAGGUCUAGAGAUAGACCCUUCUUCGGACUCAUUACAAGGUGCUGCAUGGUUGUCGUCAGCUCGUGCCGUGAGGUGUCAGGUUAAGUCCUAUAACGAGCGCAACCCCUAUCGUUAGUUGCCAGCGAGUAAUGUCGGGAACUCUAACGAAACUGCCAGUGCAAACUGUGAGGAAGGUGGGGAUGACGUCAAAUCAUCACGGCCCUUACGGCCUGGGCUACACACGUGCUACAAUGGCUAGGACAGACGGCUGCAAACCAGCGAUGGGGAG